This 460-nucleotide ribosomal RNA is filed under the name uncultured bacterium. Its description in RNAcentral is "partial 16S ribosomal RNA". It matches the Rfam family "Bacterial small subunit ribosomal RNA", at positions 338 to 795 of the family's 1533-position model. The record is from RNAcentral.
CCUACGGGUGGCAGCAGUGAGGAAUAUUGGUCAAUGGGCGCGAGCCUGAACCAGCCAAGUAGCGUGAAGGAUGACUGCCCUAUGGGUUGUAAACUUCUUUUAUAUGGGAAUAAAGUGUGCCACGUGUGGCAUUUUGUAUGUACUUUAUGAAUAAGGAUCGGCUAACUCCGUGCCAGCAGCCGUGGUAAUACGGAGGAUCCGAGCGUUAUCCGGAUUUAUUGGGUUUAAAGGGAGCGUAGGUGGGUUGUUAAGUCAGUUGUGAAAGUUUGCGGCUCAACCGUAAAAUUGCAGUUGAUACUGGCAGUCUUGAGUACAGUAGAGGUAGGCGGAAUUCGUGGUGUAGCGGUGAAAUGCUUAGAUAUCACGAAGAACUCCGAUUGCGAAGGCAGCUCACUAGACUGCAACUGACAUUGAGGCUCGAAAGUGUGGGUAUCAAACAGGAUUAGAUACCCCUGUAGUC